UGUCCUACGGGGGGCAGCAGUGGGGAAUAUUGGGCAAUGGGCGCAAGCCUGACCCAGCAACGCCGCGUGAAGGAAGAAGACUUUCGGGUUGUAAACUUCUUUUCUCAGGGACGAAGAAAGUGACGGUACCUGAGGAAUAAGCCACGGCUAACUACGUGCCAGCAGCCGCGGUAAUACGUAGGUGGCAAGCGUUAUCCGGAUUUACUGGGAGUAAAGGGCGUGUAGGCGGGAAAGCAAGUCAGAUGUGAAAACAAUGGGCUCAACCAGUGGCCGGCAUUUGAAACUGGUUUU
RNAcentral lists this ribosomal RNA (291 nucleotides) under uncultured bacterium. RNAcentral describes it as "partial 16S ribosomal RNA". It matches the Rfam family "Bacterial small subunit ribosomal RNA", at positions 335 to 640 of the family's 1533-position model. The record is from RNAcentral.